RNAcentral lists this ribosomal RNA (467 nucleotides) under uncultured bacterium. Its description in RNAcentral is "bacterial SSU rRNA". It matches the Rfam family "Bacterial small subunit ribosomal RNA", at positions 31 to 507 of the family's 1533-position model. The record is from RNAcentral.
GAACGCUGGCGGCAGGCCUAACACAUGCAAGUCGAGCGGGUUUCGGACCUAGCGGCGGACGGGUGAGUAAUGCGUAGGAAGCUACCCGACAGAGGGGGAUACCAGUUGGAAACGACUGUUAAUACCGCAUAAUGUCUACGGACCAAAGUGUGGGACCUUCGGGCCACAUGCUAUCGGAUGCGCCUACGUGGGAUUAGCUAGUUGGUGAGGUAAUGGCUCACCAAGGCGACGAUCUCUAGCUGGUUUGAGAGGAUGAUCAGCCACACUGGAACUGAGACACGGUCCAGACUCCUACGGGAGGCAGCAGUGGGGAAUAUUGGACAAUGGGCGCAAGCCUGAUCCAGCCAUGCCGCGUGUGUGAAGAAGGCCUUCGGGUUGUAAAGCACUUUCAGCGAGGAGGAAGAGUUGUGUGUUAAUAGUACACAGCUUUGACGUUACUCGCAGAAGAAGCACCGGCUAACUCUGUG